RNAcentral lists this ribosomal RNA (89 nucleotides) under Erinaceus europaeus (western European hedgehog). Lineage: Eukaryota; Metazoa; Chordata; Mammalia; Eulipotyphla; Erinaceidae. The record is from RNAcentral.
GUCUACGGCCAUACCACCCUGAACACGCCCGAUCUCGUCUGAUCUUGGAAGCUAAGACAGCAAAGAACCUUCCUCAUUCUCUAUAAACC